CGGCGGGUGCUAACGUCCGUCGUGAAGAGGGAAACAACCCAGACCGCCAGCUAAGGUCCCAAAGUCACAGUUAAGUGGGAAACGAUGUGGGAAGGCACAGACAGCCAGGAUGUUGGCUUAGAAGCAGCCAUCAUUUAAAGAAAGCGUAAUAGCUCACUGGUCGAGUCGGCCUGCGCGGAAGAUGUAACGGGGCUAAACUGUGCACCGAAGCUGCGGCAGCGACACUAUGUGUUGUUGGGUAGGGGAGCGUUCUGUAAGCCUGCGAAGGUGGCCUGUGAGGGUUGCUGGAGGUAUCAGAAGUGCGAAUGCUGACAUAAGUAACGAUAAUGCGGGUGAAAAGCCCGCACGCCGGAAGACCAAGGGUUCCUGUCCAACGUUAAUCGGGGCAGGGUGAGUCGACCCCUAAGGCGAGGCCGAAAGGCGUAGUCGAUGGGAAACAGGUUAAUAUUCCUGUACUUGGUGUUACUGCGAAGGGGGGACGGAGAAGGCUAUGUUAGCCGGGCGACGGUUGUCCCGGUUUAAGCAUGUAGGCGGAGGU
Molecule: ribosomal RNA, 538 nt
Filed under: Klebsiella aerogenes
Lineage: Bacteria; Pseudomonadati; Pseudomonadota; Gammaproteobacteria; Enterobacterales; Enterobacteriaceae
Description: partial 23S ribosomal RNA
Rfam family: Bacterial large subunit ribosomal RNA
Source: RNAcentral